RNAcentral lists this transfer RNA (76 nucleotides) under Clostridiaceae bacterium. RNAcentral's name for it is "tRNA-Lys". It matches the Rfam family "tRNA". From Rfam's summary of the family: Transfer RNA (tRNA) molecules are approximately 80 nucleotides in length. Lineage: Bacteria; Bacillati; Bacillota; Clostridia; Eubacteriales; Clostridiaceae. The record is from RNAcentral.
GAUCCAUUAGCUCAGUUGGCAGAGCACUUGACUUUUAAUCAAGGGGCCGAGGGUUCGAAUCCCUCAUGGAUCACCA